UCGGGUGACGAGCGGCGGACGGGUGAGUAAUGUCUGGGAAACUGCCCGAUGGAGGGGGAUAACUACUGGAAACGGUAGCUAAUACCGCAUAACGUCGCAAGAGCAAAGCGGGGGACCUUCGGGCCUCAUGCCAUCAGAUGUGCCCAGAUGGGAUUAGCUAGUGGGUGGGGUAAUGGCUCACCCAGGCGACGAUCCCUAGCUGGUCUGAGAGGAUGACCAGCCACACUGGAACUGAGACACGGUCCAGACUCCUACGGGAGGCAGCAGUGGGGAAUAUUGCACAAUGGGCGCAAGCCUGAUGCAGCCAUGCCGCGUGUAUGAAGAAGGCCUUCGGGUUGUAAAGCACUUUCAGCGAGGAGGAAGGC
This 365-nucleotide ribosomal RNA is filed under the name Raoultella sp. RNAcentral describes it as "bacterial SSU rRNA". It matches the Rfam family "Bacterial small subunit ribosomal RNA", at positions 84 to 452 of the family's 1533-position model. The record is from RNAcentral. Lineage: Bacteria; Pseudomonadati; Pseudomonadota; Gammaproteobacteria; Enterobacterales; Enterobacteriaceae.